RNAcentral lists this microRNA precursor (43 nucleotides) under Eptatretus burgeri (inshore hagfish). RNAcentral describes it as "Ebu-Mir-451_pre stem-loop". Lineage: Eukaryota; Metazoa; Chordata; Myxini; Myxiniformes; Myxinidae. The record is from RNAcentral.
AAACCGUUACCAUUAUUGCGUGUUAAUAAUGGUAACGGUUCUU